Molecule: transfer RNA, 78 nt
Filed under: Podarcis lilfordi (Lilford's wall lizard)
Lineage: Eukaryota; Metazoa; Chordata; Lepidosauria; Squamata; Lacertidae
Description: tRNA.Lys
Source: RNAcentral
GCCCUGCAGGAUAGCUCAGCCAGUAGAGCAUGUGACUCUUAAUCUCAAGAGUCAUGAGUUUGAGCCCCACGUUGGGCA